UACUCGAGUGGCGAACGGGUGAGUAACACGUGGGUGAUCUGCCCUGCACUCUGGGAUAAGUCUGGGAAACUGGGUCUAAUACCGGAUAGGACCAUGCUUUAGUGUGUGUGGUGGAAAGUUUUUUCGGUGUAGGAUGAGCCCGCGGCCUAUCAGCUUGUUGGUGGGGUAAUGGCCUACCAAGGCGGCGACGGGUAGCCGGACUGAGAGGUUGGUCGGCCACAUUGGGACUGAGAUACGGCCCAG
This 243-nucleotide ribosomal RNA is filed under the name uncultured Actinomycetales bacterium. RNAcentral describes it as "partial 16S ribosomal RNA". It matches the Rfam family "Bacterial small subunit ribosomal RNA", at positions 88 to 334 of the family's 1533-position model. The record is from RNAcentral. Lineage: Bacteria; Bacillati; Actinomycetota; Actinomycetes; Actinomycetales.